RNAcentral lists this ribosomal RNA (416 nucleotides) under uncultured microorganism. Its description in RNAcentral is "bacterial SSU rRNA". It matches the Rfam family "Archaeal small subunit ribosomal RNA", at positions 330 to 745 of the family's 1478-position model. The record is from RNAcentral.
GCGCACCAGGCGAGAAAACUUCACACUGUGCGAAAGCACGAUGAGGGAAUCCCAAGUGCUUGCACGUAAGUGUAAGCUGUUCCUCUGUCUAAAACGCAGAGAGAGUAAGGGCUGGGUAAGACGGGUGCCAGCCGCCGCGGUAAUACCUGCAGCUCAAGUGGUGACCGUUAUUAUUGGGGCCUAAAACGUCCGUAGCCGGUUUAAUAAAUGCCUGGGUAAAUUGUGUAGCUUAACUAUACGAAUUCCGGGUAGACUGUUAAACUUGAGACCGGGAGAAGUUAGAGGUACUCCUGGGGUAGAGGUGAAAUUCUGUAAUCCUAGGGGGACCACCAGUGGCGAAGGCGUCUAACUAGAACGGGUCUGACGGUGAGGGACGAAGCCCUGGGGCGCAAACGGGGAUUAGAUACCCCGGUAGU